Molecule: ribosomal RNA, 269 nt
Filed under: uncultured Planctomycetales bacterium
Lineage: Bacteria; Pseudomonadati; Planctomycetota; Planctomycetia; Planctomycetales
Description: partial 16S ribosomal RNA
Rfam family: Bacterial small subunit ribosomal RNA
Source: RNAcentral
GAGCACGUAGGUGGGUUUGUAAGUCAGAUGUGAAAGCCUUCUGUUCAACGGAAGAAUUGCAUCUGAAACUGCGAGUCUUGAGUGUAGGAGGGGAGAAUGGAACUUCUGGUGGAGCGGUGAAAUGCGUAGAUAUCAGAAGGAACUCCGGCGGCGAAAGCGAUUCUCUGGCCUAUUACUGACACUCAGUGUGCGAAAGCUAGGGGAGCAAACGGGAUUAGAUACCCCGGUAGUCCUAGCCGUAAACGAUGGGCACUGAGUAGAGGGGUUUU